This 497-nucleotide ribosomal RNA is filed under the name uncultured bacterium. RNAcentral's name for it is "partial 16S ribosomal RNA". It matches the Rfam family "Bacterial small subunit ribosomal RNA", at positions 28 to 507 of the family's 1533-position model. The record is from RNAcentral.
GAUGAACGCUGGCGGCGUGCCUAAUACAUGCAAGUCGAGCGAACGGACGAGAAGCUUGCUUCUCUGAUGUUAGCGGCGGACGGGUGAGUAACACGUGGAUAACCUACCUAUAAGACUGGGAUAACUUCGGGAAACCGGAGCUAAUACCGGAUAAUAUUUUGAACCGCAUGGUUCAAAAGUAAAAGACGGUCUUGCUGUCACUUAUAGAUGGAUCCGCGCUGCAUUAGCUAGUUGGUAAGGUAACGGCUUACCAAGGCAACGAUGCAUAGCCGACCUGAGAGGGUGAUCGGCCACACUGGAACUGAGACACGGUCCAGACUCCUACGGGAGGCAGCAGUAGGGAAUCUUCCGCAAUGGGCGAAAGCCUGACGGAGCAACGCCGCGUGAGUGAUGAAGGUCUUCGGAUCGUAAAACGCUGUUAUUAGGGAAGAACAUAUGUGUAAGUAACUGUGCACAUCUUGACGGUACCUAAUCAGAAAGCCACGGCUAACUACGUG